GAUGAACGCUGGCGGCGUGCCUAAAACAUGCAAGUCGAGCGGUAAGGCCCCUUCGGGGGUACACGAGCGGCGGACGGGUGAGUAACACGUGGGAAUCUACCCCAAACUGAGGGAUAAGCACCGGAAACGGUGUCUAAUACCGCAUAUGGUCUUCGGAUUAAAGCUUCGGCGGUUUGGGAAGAGCCCGCGCAAGAUUAGCUAGUUGGUAAGGUAAUGGCUUACCAAGGCGACGAUCUUUAGCUGGUUUGAGAGGAUGAUCAGCCACACUGGAACUGAGACACGGUCCAGACUCCUACGGGAGGCAGCAGUUAGGAAUCUUCCACAAUGGGCGAAAGCCUGAUGGAGCAACGCCGCGUGCAGGAUGAAUGCCUUCGGGUUGUAAACUGCUUUUAUGUGCGAAGAGUAUGACGGUAACACGUGAAUAAGGAUCGGCUAACUCCGUGCCAGCCGCCGCAGUAA
RNAcentral lists this ribosomal RNA (459 nucleotides) under uncultured bacterium. Its description in RNAcentral is "partial 16S ribosomal RNA". It matches the Rfam family "Bacterial small subunit ribosomal RNA", at positions 28 to 523 of the family's 1533-position model. The record is from RNAcentral.